This 427-nucleotide ribosomal RNA is filed under the name uncultured bacterium. RNAcentral describes it as "bacterial SSU rRNA". It matches the Rfam family "Bacterial small subunit ribosomal RNA", at positions 354 to 796 of the family's 1533-position model. The record is from RNAcentral.
GUUGGGAAUCUUGCACAAUGGGGGAAACCCUGAUGCAGCGACGCCGCGUGGAGGAUGACGGAUCUAGGUCUGUAAACUCCUUUUUCAUGGAAAGACUUAGGACGGUACCAUGAGAAUAAGGACCGGCUAACUACGUGCCAGCAGCCGCGGUAAGACGUAGGGUCCAAGCGUUGUCCGGAUUUACUGGGCGUAAAGAGCGCGUAGGCGGCUCGUUAAGUGUGGUGUGAAAUCUCCAGGGCUCAACCCGGAAACUGCACCGCAUACUGGCGAGCUUGAGGAAUGCAGAGGUAACUGGAAUUCCUGGUGUAGCGGUGAAAUGCGUUGAUAUCAGGAGGAACACCCAUGGCGAAGGCAGGUUACUGGGCAUUAUCUGACGCUGAGGCGCGAAAGCGUGGGUAGCAAACAGGAUUAGAAACCCGAGUAGUCC